AUUAUGUUUUUCAAAUCUGUGACUGUCAAAGCACCUCAUACUGAUUUUCAGGAGUUCAGUAAACAGACUGUCAAAAACAGGUAAAUGAUUUCAUUCUUAAAUUUAACUUUAAAAUUGUAACUGGUUUCCAAACAAACAUGUUCUUAUCUUUUUUUUUUUUUUUUUUGGUCACAUAUAAGUGUGUGCCGCUCUGCUAAGCUGUGGAAACUUCUCUCCUCUUCUCCACUAAGUAAGUAAAAGAGACCAUGAAUUUAUAAUUCACAUCCAGUCACAAAAAAUAUUAAAACUAUCCCACUAUCCCAUUACUUUAUAUCACUUUUUUCUUUUAAGAUUGUGAAGGACUCACAUAUUUUUUAUUCUUAUUUUGUGUUUUACUUCUUCAUGUAUUGAUUCGUGUUCACUGUCAACUGUCAUUCAUUAAUGUACAGUAUAAAGCUAAUAACUGUUGUUAAGAGCACUGACAAUUUUGCAUGUCAAUAAAAACAUACUUAAUUCACACAACAUGCUGCUGUUGUGGUUAUUGUUGUUGUUUUAAUGUAAAACCCUAACCAAGGGUACACUCUAAGAUGCCUCAUUAAUGAUUUUAUGGAGCUCAGCCAUCCAACUACACAGACUAUCAACACACUCUCAAUAGGUAAAUCAUUUCUUUCUUAAAAUGUCUAUAAAUUAUAACUUUCAAAUGCUAAUUGGUUUCCUUUGUCUUUUCUCUGUUUAGUUUUAGAGAACAUGUAAGUGUGAUAGCUGUAUUCAGUUAAGGAUACUCUCAUCUUCUUCACUACAUGCUGUUACAUCCUACAACCUCAUCAUCUGCAGGGAGAAACUGCCAUUCAAUCACAACAAAAUACAGAUAAUGAUGAACUUAAAGGCAUCAUAGAGGAUUGUGAAGAUAUUUCACUGGAGCUUGGUCUUCAAUACACUAUUUUAUGUUAUAUUUUGUUUUACUUCUUUAAGCAUUUAUUUAUGUUCAGUGUCCAUUGUCAUUCAUUAAUGUAUUCUGCUAAUAACUGUUAGAAUAACUGGCAUUUUUGCUACAACUUCAUGUCAUAAAAAGUACCUAAUUGACACGUUGUUGUUGAUUUUAUGUAAAAACCCUAAUAGACACAACAAGAUAUUAUAAGACCAGGAAGAUAGAGGGGUAAAAACAAUAUUAAUAAAUAAUAUAUACAAAUAAUACUAAUAUUAAAG
This is a long non-coding RNA of Cyprinus carpio (common carp), 1185 nucleotides long. The record is from Ensembl. NCBI's taxonomy places the organism in Eukaryota, Metazoa, Chordata, Actinopteri, Cypriniformes, Cyprinidae.